This 495-nucleotide ribosomal RNA is filed under the name uncultured Bacteroidota bacterium. Its description in RNAcentral is "bacterial SSU rRNA". It matches the Rfam family "Bacterial small subunit ribosomal RNA", at positions 903 to 1382 of the family's 1533-position model. The record is from RNAcentral. Lineage: Bacteria; Pseudomonadati; Bacteroidota.
AGCCCGCUCAGAAACUACAAAGGAAUUGACGGGGGCCCGCACAAGCGGAGGAGCAUGUGGUUUAAUUCGAUGAUACGCGAGGAACCUUACCUGGGCUUAAAUGCUUAAUGACGUACUGGGAAACUGGUAUUUCUUCGGACAUUUUGCAAGGUGCUGCAUGGUUGUCGUCAGCUCGUGCCGUGAGGUGUCGGGUUGAGUCCCAUAACGAGCGCAACCCCUAUUGUUAGUUGCCAUCAGGUCAUGCUGGGGACUCUAACAAAACUGCCCGCGUAAGCGUGGAGGAAGGUGGGGAUGACGUCAAAUCAGCACGGCCCUUACGUCCAGGGCUACACACGUGCUACAAUGGCCGGUACAGAGGGCAGCCACUUGGUGACAAGGAGCAAAUCUCAAAAGCCGGUCUCAGUUCGGAUCGGAGUCUGCAACUCGACUCCGUGAAGUUGGAUUCGCUAGUAAUCGUAGAUCAGCAAUGCUACGGUGAAUACGUUCCCGGGCCUU